CUGUUGGGAGCAACGCCUGGGCGGCGGAAGCACCUUGCCUUGUCCCUUGAGCCUGUCAGUUGCCAAGGUUUCCUGUGCGGGGGGGGGGGAGAGGGGGUGCGCUGGCGGCUUCUGUGUGGGCGCGGGAGGUGGGGGGCACUUGCCUGCGCUCCUCACCUCGCGCCACCAAGAGGCAACGCCGCCGCCGCCGCCGCCGGCCGCCACCACCACCAUGGCUUCGGCCUGGGCGGGGUUGACUGAGCGCGAGCGGGACGGCUGCCGGGAGCUCCUGGAUCUUCUCCACACGGACGACCUGCUGUCGCUGACGGACACCGUGACUAACCGCCUCGUGCAGCCGGACGACCGCCAAGAAGCCAUAAAUGCCAUCGUAUUGUACAGUCAAAGUGCUGAAGAGCUGCUGAAGAGAAAGAAGGUCUUUCGAGAGGUAAUCUUCAAGUAUUUGGCAGCAAAAGGAAUCGUAGUGCCGCCUUCUUCUGAAAAGCACCAACUUGUUGAUCGUGCAAAGGAGUACUGGUGUGAACAGCUAAAAGAUAAUGGCUCGGAGGAAAUCAAUACUAAGCCUGAUGUACAGAAACCUGAAGAGGGAGGGAAGGAAGGAGGAGACAAGCAAGAUCACAGCAAAGAUUGCCACAGUCUGGGAGAGGAGUUCUGCCAGUGGUUCUUUGGAAUUCUGAACUCUCAGAACCCGUUGAUUGGAGAACCACAUGAUGAAUGGGGACCACAACAUUUUUGGGAUGAUGUAAUCCUAAAGUUUUGCUAUAAUACUUCAGAACAAAACAUGGAAGAGUACUUGGGUGCAGAAUUGGUUAGCCUUCGUUUACUGUCAUUGGUGAAAGAAGAAUACCUCUUCCUGAACCCGAACUUGGACGCAGGUGGCCUGAAGUGGACAGUUUCACGACAUGGGUUAGUUGUGGUGGCAGUAGCAGGCACAGUUCAUAGAAAUACUUCUUGUUUGGGCAUCUUUGAACAAAUCUUUGGACUCAUCCGCUGCCCCUUUAGGGAGAAUACGUGGAAAAUCAAAUUUGUGAACCUAAAGAUUGUUGGUCAGAAUGCCCUGGAACCUGGGACCCACUUAGAAAGACCUUGCAUAAAAUAUGAGCAGGAAGAACUCCAGGAAUUCUAUGUUUCCAAUGAUCUUUCCUUGGUUGAGUCUCAAAAAUCCUGAGCAUUCUGUGUGCGGAAUGAAGUAGAACAGUUUGUGGGCCCAGAAAAUACAACACAUGAGCAUACUUGAGCAUUCAAGUGUGGGGAACGUUUGUCCCUCCAGAUGCUGCUGAAGUACUACUCCAGUCAGCCCUAGCCAGAAUGUCCAAUGGCCAAGGAUGUUAAGAGUUAUGAAGAACUAAAGGUUUCCCACACCUGUUCUAUGGGCUGUUGCUGCUUCUUUGCUGUCACAUUGGUCACAAUGUUUUCCAAUCACCUUUGCUGCUACUGAUCCAGGUUUAAGUUUAUUGUAUUGAUUUACAAAGCCCAGAAUAACUUGGGUCCAGGAUAUUUCUCAGGGAUUGCCUUAACCCUUUAUAAUCCAGCUUUAUCACUUAAGAUCAUCUGCAGGAGCAUCUUUGGUCAUUUCCUGAGUUGGCGAGGCUCGUUUGACAUCAACAAGAAACCAAGCCUUCAGGGUCAUCGGCCCAGGCCUAUGCAACAUCCUACCAAUAGAGAUUCAGCUGGGCAUCUUCUCUGCCAAUUUUUAAACACAUGCUGAAAACUUUUGGACCAGACCUAUGCAAACACUUAAGAGUGCAUUCACCACAGUAGUCUAUUGAUGUUUGUUUUUAAUUUAUUUUUGCUUUUGUUUUUUAACUUGUAAAGUGAUGAGCUUUACAUUUUUAUAUUGUUAUAAACUGCUGUAAUAAUUUUUUUAUGAUACAGCAGUAUAUAAAUAGUUGUAUAAACAAUAAAUAAAGUGAAAACUGAGAACCACACGGCUAUAAUCACCAAUACACCUGCAAGCUUUACUCAGCUGACGUAGAAAUUUCUGCAGAAUUUUGAAAUUCCUGUUUUGCCAGCAAGGCACAUAAGACACCCUCCAAUUGGUGCAAUGAGUUGCAGAUCAGCCAGUACAGAGUGAAAUCCAGUGCCUAAUUCAACCACAGAACAGAAAGCAAAAUCCUUUUGAGAGGUGGGGGGCAAUUUUAUAUAACUUUGCUAUACUGAAUGUUCAAGACAUCAUGAAUUUAGUGCCAUCUAGAAGGUGUGUGUGUGUGUGUGUGUUUUGGAUUUGAACAUCUCUCAUUUUUGUUAUUUAAAGAGAUUUCUUUUUUCAUUGACACGGAAGGCAACCAUUGUACUAUGGUUAAAAUUUGGUAGAGGUGGCCAGAUCCGGUUAAAAUUGGCCAGAGGUUAGAUCUAGCCCAUGGGCUAUAUGCUGGGCAUUUCUGGAUUAAGCAGAAGUUCACCACUGCACACUUCCUUGAUGCCUCAUCAGUAACGCAAAGGCUGGUUAUUUCCUUUGGCUGAAUUACCUCUAUCAGAUGGAGCAGUUGGAGAUGAUCAACCUGCCAUUGAUAAAAAUCUGAACCCAUCCUUGCUUUUUUUCAAGAUCUGCCUCUUUCUUAAGCUGGUCAAUAAUGUCAAGCUGUGAUUUAUUUUUUUAAGGGGGAAAAUAAAACCUGUAUUGUUGCUGGGGUCAUGCAGGAAAAUGUUAUCCAUGACAGCUGUCAGGAAGAGAGAGAGAGUGAGUUGGCUGGCUGGCAACAGAAUUUCAACUGACUUGUUAACAAACACAUUUCUGAGAGUCAGGAUCUCUGUAGGCUUAGGAGCUCAGGAAGGAAUAUAGAGCACUGUUCUGGCAAAAGAAUAGCUCUCUCUUCACCUGACUGCAAAUCUUAACAAUCAUGUUGAGAGUGAGAUUGAAAGAGGAAUUGCUUGCUUUCAGCACCUGUCUCUCUGCCUUUACAUCAUCUCUUGAUUUAUUCUGCUGCUUAAAGAAUGAUGCAAUAAUCGUAACAAAUCAAUUUCAUUAAGGCAGCAGGAAAUAUUUCCCAAAGAGUAAUUCAAUUUAGUCUACCGCCAGACUUGGAACAGGUUCACACAUACACAUACAUCCCUUGAUCAUCAGAUUACUUGACACUUGGCCAAAUGUGUGAAUUACCUCUGCUGAAAAGUGUUUAUCCAUCACCACCAUGUUAAUAAGUGAUUGCUCAUGAAGUACAUCAGAAGCAGGGAACCCAACGGGAAGAUGGCUGGAAUGUCAGUUGCUACCAAAGGAGUGACAGAACUUCUAAAGGUUGGUUGCAUAGAAGCAGAAUACAUUUCUUUGUAUGUGUCUCCACUGUAGAAGUGCACCAGAGAGAAUCAGUUAGGAUGGCUACAUCCAAAAAUGUCUAUUUCCCCCCCCCCCGAAAGUAGAUGGCACCUGUAGUAUCUCAACCUGGGGCUGCUAUACUGAAAAGUCUGCUCCGAAUCAUUAUUCUAAACAUUGUGACUUGAGACACUAGACUUAACUGAUGAAAAGUACUGUGUGCCAUAGAUGUCAGUUUGGCUUCAAGUUAUAGCAAAGAUCAAUGAGCCCCUCAAUACUGCAAACCUGAUACUUCAGGGCAAUCUUUUUUUUCUGUUGAAGGCCACAUGCUGGUGGUAGAUGGGGCAAGUUUGGUGAGGGUUUAGUCUGCAUGAUGCCUGAGCUCCUAAUUCCUGGAUCCAGCAAGGGCUAACAUCUAAUUGAGGAUCCCACUGUUGAAUUAACCAGGCAAGGCCCAUAAUGGUCCCCAAAUAGGGGUCAGUAUAAGAAAGAAAAGCUUUGUGCCAGAGGGCAAAUGUUUGAGACCUCUGCUUCACCUGCCUGGUAGUGUGAAAGCCAAUAGCCAGAAAGUGGCUCCUGGACAGACCAGAGCCCUUCAUUUGUUUGACAUAGCUGCCAAGUUCUCCCUUUUUUAAAGUGAAAUUCCCUUAUGCUGAAUAGGCUUCCUCGUGAGAAAAGGGAAAACUUGGCAGCUAUGUUGUUUGAAGAACAAACCCAUUCCCUUCUUUUUCAUUUCCCCAUGGUGCUUCUCAAGAAUAUCAUUUUAAGCAACAUACUUGUCAACCACAACAAUGAUACAUACGUGUCACUUUCUUAUUUAAGUAGUUCUCUCCUUGUAGUUCAUCAACAUUAUUUAUUACUUGUCCAGAUUUCUAGUAGAGUAUUCAUUCUUUUAGCAAUUUGCAUUAUUUAUUGAAAUGGCUUGCUCCUACGUGACAUCAUUUGUAGCAAUUAUAGGGUUUGGCAUAAUAGCUACGUGAUGCCUCAGAUGUCACGUGGAAAUGAAUGAUGACAGAAUCCUGUCCCGGUGAUUAACAUUGAUGUAUUGCUGUGAACUAUAAGAUCCUCUCUAAUACAUUUGAUUUUUCCACAUGUUUUCGUAAUGCUUCAGCACAGAAAGUGACUUUUGGGCUUAGGUCAUAUUCAAGUCAUAGCAUAAUGUGUGGCACUUAUCUGACAUGUGUCUCUGUAGUCCUGUAAUUCCGAAGGUGAAUUCCUAUCAAGUUUCUCCAGUAGUUAAUAAAUUAAAUAUAGAGAACAAUAACAAAGCUGAGGCUGUAGCUGAUAUGAGUAGAACCAUUCUGCCUCUUUAAGUCUGCUCUGCCAUCAUUGAUAUGGGAUUCUGAUCACUGAACUGAGAUCCCCUGGAUAGGGGCUCCUGAAUAGGGGUGGGGAAGAAAUUUGAUUCAGUUCAUAUUGAAAGGAGACGCUACCUAAAAUCACACUUUCCAAACAAUAAGAAAACAAACACAGCCAUCCUUCAACAUUCAGAUUCCUCCAUAUCUUUCAGUGUAGUUCUCUAGCCAAGUAUUGUAUCCAAAAAUACAUAUACUGAGAUAAGAUGUGCAUCAUAAUGCACAUAUUAGUGAACAUGGUGUACAAAUAUGCUUUAGAUUAUGGGAAACUGCUUUGCAAAAUGCAAACCUUAAGGAAGAUUGCUUAAAAUGUACAUAUUAGAAGUUCACACUGAAAUGCUGAUACAUUUUUAUGAGAACUUAUUUUUAAUCGCAAACUGAUGUGAAAAUGUAGAGAACUGAACCGAAGAUCGUAAAAUGAGAACCUGAGAGAAACCAAACCUGACAUUCACCCACCCCUGAAUAACUAAAUGACCCAGGGAUUCUGCAGGUGAGCCACUUGAUGCAAUUCAAGGUAGCUCAAAACUGAAACCUUUCAGGUGAACAUAAGAAGUUGUGUUAUACAGAUUCAGACCAGUAUUGCUGACUCAGACUGGCAGCUCCUCAGGCAGAUGCCAUUCCCAUUGCUGGUGAAACAUGUGAUGGGAAGGAUGAGAGGAAGAAUGAGUGACAGCAGGAGAGCAAGAUGGAGUGGCAGGCAGAGCAAGAACGAGUGACGUGGAGAGAGCCAGCUGAGCAGGAGAGUUAGUUGAGCAAGGCUACAUUCAGAUGUAGGAUUUAUUGUGUGUGUUUGCUGCUUACAAUGCUAGUUUCCUCACUGCGAGAAGCAAAGCUACAGGGAACCAGGCAGAGGGCCUUUUCGGUAGUGGCGCCCGCCCUGUGGAACGCCCUCCCAUCGGAGGUCAAGGAGAUAAACAACUACCUGACAUUUAGACAACACCUAAAGGCAGCCCUGUUUAGGGAAGUUUUUAAUCUGUGAUAUUUUAAUGUAUUUUAGUAUUGUUGGAAGCCGCCCAGAGUGGUGGGGGAAACCCAGCCAGAUGGGCGGGUUAAUAAUAAUAAUAAUAAUAAUAAUAAUAAUAAUAAUAAUAAUAAUGCUUCUGUCCUGAUUUCCAUCAUUCUUUUACACUGAAGAAGCUUGUUGCCUUGGGAACUCUGGCUUUUUAGUCAAUAUACUGGCAUGCCAUGCUAAAUUUUAAAUAUUGGGAAGGAACCGUAUGCUGCUAUGUUGUUGUUGUUUAGUCUUGUCUGACUCAUCCUGACCCCAUGGACCAUAGCACGCCAGGCACUCCUGUCCUCCACCACCUCCCGCAGUUUGGUCAAACUCAUGUUGGUAGCUUCGAGAAUACUGUCCAACCAUCUCGUCCUCUGUCAUCCCCUUCUCCUUGUGCCCUCCAUCUUUCCCAACAUCAGGGUCUUUUCCAGGGAGUCUUCUCUUCUCAUGAUGUGACCAAAGUAUUGGAGCCUCAGCUUCACGAUCUGUCCUUCCAGUGAGCACUCAGGGCUGAUUUCCUUCAGAAUGGAUAGGUUUGAUCUUCUUGUAGUCCAUGGGACUCUCAAGAGUCUCUUGUAGUCCCAGCACCAUAAUUCAAAAGCAUCAAUUCUUCAGCGAUCAGCCUUCUUUAUGGUCCAGCUCUCACUUCCAUACAUCACUAUUGGGAAAACCAUAGCUUUAACUAUAUGGACCUUUGUCGGCAAGGUGAUGUCUCUGCUUUUUAAGAUACUGUCUAGGUUUGUCAUUGCUUUUCUGGUAUACCAGCCCAAAUUUUGACUGUGUGAAACUCCUGUGAAUAGUGGGGUUUGUGUGUCUGUUCUGGGAGAUGCAACCCAUCCCCUAAUCCUUCUUGUAAGUGACAGUAACAGGAGAACCUUACUCCUUUCUCUAGCUCAGGAGGUGGUGACAGCUGUGUAUUUGGGGAAAUGUUAGGGGGAGUCUGAACUCAGCGGACCUGCUGAGUAAUUUACCCAGUGGCCUCUAGGGGACAAGGCCUUUUCCAGUUUCAGUUUUCAGUUUAAACAGAAAACUUAAUAAAAAACGAUUCCAAAAAAAGGCCUUCUCCCAAUCUAGCAGUGUGCUGGGGAUUGAGCUAUGGAAUACCGUCUGGCAGUGUGUUGGUUGGCAUCUGUUUGUCUUGAAGGGUGCACCUUCAGGGCUGAAGUCAAACUAUUGGAGAGUUACAGCACCUGCUUUGGCCCUGAGUGUCGAUAUGGGAGAGACAUGAUUCAAGUUACAAGAAAGUAAAUUCCGACAAAACACCAGGAAGAACUUUCUGACAGUAAGAGCUGCUUGACAGUGGAACGGUCUCCCUCGGGAGGUUGUUGACUCUCCUUCCUUGAAAGUUUUCAGCAGAGGUUGGAUGGCCGUCUGUUGUGGAUGCUUUAGUUGAGAUUCCUGCAUUUCAGGGAGUCAGACUAGAUGACCCUUGAGGUCACUUCCAACUCCACAAUUCUGUGAUUCUAUGUUUUGUUGCAGCUGGGCAGGUGAAGGAGUGCAGUUGUUCUGGUGUGGAUGCACCAUGGCAUUUCUCUCUGCACUCAUCUUAGCAGUCAUUCCUCCUCUGGUCGCUGCUCUGGAUACAUGACCUGGAUACAUGGUGGAGUAAUGUGUGCCUUUGAUUAUAACACAAUCCUCAACCUGCUUAAGCAUCCAUGCUUUCACUUAAUGUAAUGCAGCCUUCAGCAACCUGGCUGCUCUCUGGCUGCUUUAGACUACAGCUCCCAUUAACCCCAGCAAGCGCAGCUACACUGGUGUAGACAAUAUGGCCAUGCUGACUGGGGCUGACAGUUGUCGUCCAAAAUAGUUGAAGGGCACCAGGUUGGCAAAGGCUGAAGGCAUGUACCCUCACCCUGAGUUCAGGAUAGUGAUUCCAUUUAGAUGUAUGCAAAGAGGUUGGUCGCUGUCAUCUAAAACCAAAUAUAAUCACCCGAUGAUCUGUUUGUUCCCGCUCUUUCAAGGGAAGAUACAGGAAAGCUGCUAAUGAGAGGGCAAUUAUUUCAGCUGAAUGCACUAUUUGUUUAUAGCUGGUGAAGAAAAACAACAACCACCACCCCAGAUUAACCACACACUCAAUGCAGUCUGGCAAUUAAACAGUUCAAUAGCAAUAAAACAAUUAGAUCACAAUGGUGAAUUUCCAUUUAAAGCUAAUUAAAACAGUGUAAAAAGUGAUUUGCAUUAAGGGAAAACAAAUGCAACCAUCAAUAUGCGCUAUGAAUACAAGCAAUGGCUCUGUAUCUUAUGGGUUUUUAUGCAGUAAUAAUAUUAAAUGUAUUUAUUUAAAUGAAUGCUAGCUGUCCUAGUAACAUUUCCUCUGCAGCCUUACCAUCUCGGGUGAAAAUGAAGAUGAAGGAAGGCAUUCUCUUAAGCAGAGGGCAAAAGAGAGGCAGGGCAGCAGAGCACUGAGUUGCUCAUCACAUCUUAGCCAGAGAAUCAAUAGGAGCUGGGGAAGAAGGGGAGCAACAACAGGGUAGGAAAGAAGGAAAUGCUACACAGGGAGAUGGCAAAUUCAGGUGAACGGCAAGCACACAAACCAAUUAAAGCUAAUCAUGUUGAAAUUCCAUUGACACCACUGAGAGGAAGAACAUGCUUCCCCCAUUGGUAUCCAUGGACUGAAAACUGCAUCGUGGGGUAGUGUGCAGGCUUCACAUGCAUAGUGGUCCCUCUAGCCAGUAUUGUCUAUUGACAGGGACUGCCUGGGUACUGAGGAGGGGGCACUGGGAGAAGGUGGGGUUGGAGACUGAAUUGGAAUAAGGAACCAGUGAACUGGGGGAGGCUGUAACAGCUGAAAGACAAGAGUCGGAGGCAGGAGGAGCUGCAGGAUUGUAGAGUGAAGGAGAAGAGAGUUCUGUAGCUACUGGGAUUUUCUCCCGCCUUGAGGCUUAUAUCUGAUGUGUGGACGGUCAAUACAGAAGCUGAUAGAAAUGCAGCCAUAGUUCUACGUCACAUGCUCAAAAAUGGUUACCGUUUCCCCACCACCAAGGUGGGAGACUUACACACUGCAUUUCAGUAUGUUAGAUUGCUUGUUAGUGAUUCAGCUAGGUUAGCUGAUAUUAAGUUGCAUCUCUGAUAUUAGCACCGGCUUCAGUUCUGGGCUACAAGCACCUUUGGCUACCUAUCAUUGAGUGAAUGGGUACGGGCAUUUGAUGAGACAGUCCUAUAGCUAAAGCUAAGCAGAUAUGGUCCUUUAAGCUGCCUGGAUGGAAGGCCACCUGGGAACCUUAUGGUCCGUUUCUAGCUGUUAAAUCAGCAGUUUGGAGGUGAUAAAUGUUUGUUUCUGUCAUGAAAAGAGUCACCUGCUGAUUUCUGUAUACUGUAUCAGACCUUUAUUAAAAGCACACAAACAAGUCAGCCCCUUACACACACACACACACACACACACACACACGAUUAUCCACAAGCAUAUAUGAAUGGUUCACGUGAAAGUGUAAAAAAUAAAACUACAUUACAAAUGUAGAAACUGCCUAAUGCCCGGUGGUCAUACUAUUUGUCUACCCUGUUACCUUCAGAACCUUUUUUCUGACCAGCCUCUCCUGUGCACUUAAAUACAAAACCUUUGCCUCUUCCUUCAGACAGAAAUGUUUCCAGGUCCUGGAGAAUUUCGUGGUAUUCCCACAGUUGCCACUGUGUGGAGAUGUUGCGUCAUAAUCCCACCCAGACUGUGAAUAUUGCAGACGGCUCAAGGCUCAGUUGAAUUGUCAUUGUCCAAAGUGAUUUUCCUGCCAAUUCCAUUGUAUCAUAUUCUGAAAAGCUUUGCCUGCAUCUUCUUAUUGAACCAAUAUAUCUGGUGAUACAGAAUUUCUUACAAACAGCAUGUGGCCUGCAAUGUUAGGUGCAUUUACCUGGGAGUAAGCACUGAACCCAGGGGAACUUGCUUCUGUGUAAGCAUGCAUAGGAUUACAUUUAUAGCAAUUUGCAGGUUGGGGUGCUUUCUGUAUUUAUCACUUUUGUAAAUGGGGUGUCAUAUGUUUCAUUCCCCCCCCCCCGAAGAAUUGAUCAUUUUUUUAAAAAAAAUGUGUGAUGGUAGAUUGCAAGUAUUACCAUAUAUGCAUUUCAACCCUGCUUUUCUAUCAAGCGGACACUCAGAUAUCUGUAUCAGUUGUGAAUUUUCCUUCUUGAUUAUAAUCGAGGCAAAGUGUUAUUUGCUUUGCUUUUUCCCUGGCACAGGUUAGUGGAAGUUGCAUUCAGAAUGCAGAGCAGCGGUUCAAGUGAUAGAUCUUUCUAUCUAUUCAGGAAGAAAGCAGCAUUACAGUCAUGACACAACAACAAAUAAAACAAAAUGUAACAAAGGUGAGAACAAGCAAACCGGUCAUAAAUAUUAUUGGGAUACGGAUAUACAGAGGGUGACAAAGAACAGCCAGCUCUUUGGAAAUCCCUCCCUAGAGAAGCUAGACUGGUUUCCUCCUUGUUGUCCUUCCACCAGCAGCUGAAGAUAGUUUUAUUCUGACAGGAUUUUAUGGACUGGCUGUUGUUGUUGUUUUAGGGAAAGGCUUUUGAAUUAUGCUGUGCUAUUUUACUUGCUGUAUAUUAACAGAUUUUUUAUAUUAUGUUCAUUCUAUUAUAGUUUUAUUACUUGCUAACUGUUAUCUUUCAUAGUUUUUAUGAAACAUAUUCUUUAUUUUAGCUGUGUGUUUUUUAAUUUGUGUAAGUUGUCAUAAGUCCUGGUCUGCAAAAAAAGGCAUUAUUAUUAUUAUUAUUAUUAUUAUUAUUAUUAUUAUUAUUACAGUCAUACCUUGGUUCUUCAAUUUAAUCCAUUCUGGGAGUCCAUUUGACUCCCGAAACAGUUUGAAAACCAAGGCGUGAUUUUCAAUUGGCUGCAGGGGCUUCCUGCAGCCAAUUGGAAGCCGCAUCGGAUGUUUGCCUUCCAAAAAAUGUUCGCAAACCAGAACACUCACUUCCAGGUUUGUGACAUUCAGGAGCCAGUUUGUUUGACAACUAAGGCUUUGGACUACCAAUAUAUGACGGUAUUGUUUCCUUGCCACUGCUGCCAGUUCCACUCAGUAGUUUUCCUGGACUUUGGCAAGUUCUCAGAUUUCUUCAGGGAUAUGGGAACUUGGGAGGCUCACUUCCAAGUGUUGGGGUUGAGGCACAUAGGACUCAGGUAGGCAAUAGAAGCAUCCUGGCUUUUCAGCAGGAAAAAGAAGGUGCUGCUGGGCGCAGCUAUUGUUGGUUUUGUUUAGUCAUUUAGUCGUGUCCAACUCUUCGUGACCCCAUGGACAACUGCACACCAGGCACUCCUGUCUUCCACUGCCUCCUGCAGUUUGGUCAAACUCAUGUUUGUAGCUUCGAGAACACUGUCCAACCAUCUCAUCCUCUGUCGUCCCCUUCUCCUAGUGCCCUCCAUCUUUCCCAACAUCAAGGUCUUUUCCAAGGAUUCUUCUCUUCUCAUGAGGUGGCCAAAGUAUUGGAGCCUCAGCUUCACGAUCUGUCCUUCCAGUGAGCACUCAGGGCUGAUUUCCUUAAGAAUGGAUAGGUUUGAUCUUCUUGCAGUCCAUGGGACUCCAGCACCAUAAUUCAAAAGCAUCAAUUCUUUGGCGAUCAGCCUUCUUUAUGGUCCAGCUCUCACUUCCAUACAUCACUACUGGGAAAACCAUAGCUUUAACUAUACGGACCUUUGUAGGCAAGGUGAUGUCUCUGCUUUUUAAGAUGCUGUCUAGGUUUGUCAUUGCUUUUCUCCCAAGAAGCAGGCGUCUUUUAAUUUCGUGACUGCUGUCACCAUCUGCAGU
Zootoca vivipara (common lizard) is the source of this 11319-nucleotide RNA transcript. It is a transcript of the gene named chromosome 4 C3orf38 homolog, with no coding region annotated. NCBI's taxonomy places the organism in Eukaryota, Metazoa, Chordata, Lepidosauria, Squamata, Lacertidae. The record is from RefSeq and is a predicted model, not a curated record.